UUGCUCCCACAUCACCCGCUGCAGUGGCGCUGCUGCUGGGUCGGCCACCCUCUCCCUUCGGGCUCCCUCGUCAGGUGCCCCCCACCGCCGGAUCCAAAUCGGAUUUGGAGUCGCAGAUUGAACUCGCUCCAGCCUCCAGCCCAAAUCUUAUCCUUUUCCCUCGGAUUGGACCUCUGAUUCACUUUCUAUCUACUUCCUCUUGCACAUGGAAUCCAUCUCCCAAAUCUGUUCUUCCCCACCAGAUUAUUUUUCUUUUUUCAGGUCCAAUCCAUGCCUCCCCAAUUUCCUUCCUAGAAUCAAAAUGGGUGUAGCAGUAUGCUCGAAUCGCCAUCGCAGUUUCUCUUCCCUUGCCGCCGUCCGUCUCAAUAACUUAUAAUAACUUUGUCGUGGUUUUCUUCACCAACUCCGGCCCAUGUCGCUGUUGUCAGCCAUCUGACGUCUGUGAGCACCUCGUUAUAAAUUUCUGGUUAUGCCUCUUGCGACGAUAGUAACACCCAUUUUCUAAUUUUGGUUUCGCUCCCAGUCAGCAUGCUGCAUCUGGUCAUUUCCUCCCGCUCUUUCUUGCAGUCAGCACUUGCUUUUGCCUUUUCCAUAUGAUGCUGCUGAGUAUGGCCAUCACCCCUGUCCCUCUCUCUUAUAUUCCUCUUGCUUUUACUUCUUUGGUCCUCACCUUUCUUGCAGCGUCUACCACUUACCUGUGUAGCCUCCUGAGUAUACAGAUUGAUUAAUAAGAUUUGUCUUUACCAAUAGGAGGCUCUGCCUUUCAAACUGAUUUGGUUCUCCCAGCUAUUUCAAUUUCAGACUGAUUGUGCCUUCUGUUCUCUCUUUAGUGAUUUAUUAACAGAUACUUUCAACACUUAUUUGUUUCCAUUCUUGCAUUGUAGUUCCUGUAAGCUGAAUGUUAAGAAUUCAGUUUGCCUAUCUACUUCACUCAAAUGCACAUUAAAAAACUGGUUACUACGUUUGCUCUUCAAGAUUUCCUAAUUUUUGUUCCCCUCCUCAGUUUAUUUACGUUCAGGUAGCCCUGUGUCUCUCCAUCAAGGUUCUGAAUAUGAUCAGGUAGUCCCCUGUCUCUCUCUGUUUUUAGCAAUAUCCAGAGUUUUCUUUGGUACAAAAUUUCUUUCCAGAUGGUUCCUAUUUUUUGUAGGCUGCAAAGUAAACUGAAGGACCAUUCCAACUAAUGUAGCAUUGCUAAGUAAAAUAUGCUUAUCAGGUAUUGUACUUGGGUCAUGUGAAGCUCUAACUUUUACUUCUCUUUCUGCAUCUUCAGCAAUUCUAUCUGUACAACCAUGUCAUGAUAGAUUUUUGUUACCCUUAUAUGCUGUUUGUUUUCGUUUUUGUAUAAUCCUCAAAAGAUAUAUGGUUGAAAGAGAGAUCCUUGAACUUAACCUUACAAAUAUUGAUAUGAUAAUUCAGCAUCCGCAAAGAAUUGGUUAGGGACGUACCCAGCUGUGGUUAUGUGCAGGUCAUGGUUACUUUGAUGUAGCAGUAUACGGGUUCCUCCAGUUCAUCCAAUCCCUUUUUUUUUUUGCUGCUGCUUUGUUAUUAUUGUUAUUGACCUGUAAACAAUUGCAUUUUCUGUUCCAUUACAGAACAUAAUCGUCCUUUUCUACUUGACAUUUCUGGAGGUUUUGCAAAUAUCAAAUGAUUUAUGACCAUUUCUGAGACCAUUAGUAUUCCGAGUUUUAGCAAAUUGCUUCUUAUCUUUUCAUUUGUAACUGUUCAAAUUGCACCAGUGGGGAUAAUGUCUUUCCAUAGGUGAGGUCUGUGAAGCCCGUGUUAACAAGGCUUUUUUCAAUGGUACUAUAAGACAGGUGGAUUUUCACCAAGCAACAAAGCAAGUAAAUUCUCUUUCAGAUUGCUGUCGGUAGCAGCUCAUCCUCUAGCUGCUGCUACUCCAGCAAAGUUUUAUAGUAAUAAUGUAGAACAAGAACAAACUUAAUACAACAUUCCCUCUUCAUCAGCAUAAGGUGGCAAAUUGUAAAAUGAACAGUGAAAUGUCUAACUGAAAUUUCUUUUGGGGGCACAGCUUGGUCCCUUUUGUUGGUAAAAUCUGAAGCUUCUUCAAAUGGUUAUGACAAUGGAACGACAAGGAACUCAUGGGAGGAAAUGCCUAUAUGGCUCAAUCUGAGGAAACAAAGUUGGAAGACCACUCACCAAAUAAAGUCAAGGAGGAAACUCCAACCACUUGAUAUUGGCUUCUACCGAUUAGUAAUGUAGGCUCCUAUGGCAGGACUCACCACGGUUAUGAGAAGCCAUCAGCUUGAUGUGAGUCAGCAUGCUCAGUUUGGAAUAAAGAAAAUAGCUACGUUCUAUUCUGGAAUUUUGCAGCAGUUGAUUAUGGAUUGGUUGCGUGCCAAGCAUCGGUUCUUGCUCUAACCCAUGAGCUUGCACAACAAAUUGAGAAGGCCAUGUACAUCGAGGUUUGUUCUUCCCAACUCUGAGCAUAUUUUCUUCCAAUAUGCUUGCAGCAGUAUGCUUGAAUCUAUGACAAAUACCUGCUUGCUCCAAAUCCAGAAACCAAAUACAUCAGUGCUCCAAACUCUUCAUAUAGCAUGCUGUGCUCGAGCUUGCCAAGACGCCAACCCUUGCUCCAACUUCUCUUAUACGGCUUUCUAUGCGUGUGAGUGGCAAAAAAAUUUCUUUUUCUGUUGUGCUUUUUUUUCAGAUAGGGGAUAUUCUUCUUACAAGCAACACCGCCAGGCUUGCAGUAUGGGUGGCACUGGUGCUAAUUGGUUGCAUUACUGUAGCAGGUAUCAGCCGAGGGCUUAAGGGCAAUAGUAGGAAGCCAUGUUUUCUGUCACAUCCUUUGAUCAGUUCUAUCACUUCGACACUUCGUACCGACGUGAAAAAAUAUGUGUAUUUAGAUUCCUAUUAGAAGACUAAAUAAUAGCUCUGUAGAUUACAUGUUCCUUUAUAAACAGGGGGGG
Molecule: long non-coding RNA, 2930 nt
Organism: Panicum virgatum (switchgrass)
Lineage: Eukaryota; Viridiplantae; Streptophyta; Magnoliopsida; Poales; Poaceae
Exons: 3
Source: RefSeq, a predicted model, not a curated record